AAUGGAUUUGGCGGCGAAACAGUCCGUUUAGAGGAACCUGCUCUGUAAACGAUAGUCCACGAGAUAUCUUACUUUUUUUAGUAGUCAGUUUGUAUAUCGUUGUUGUCAGUUAGUUUUAAAAGAAGAUUUUCUUAAUUGAUUAUUCAUUGACUUCAAAUAAAGGUGCAGCAAAUAAGAAAGUUUGAAGGAGGUUACACUUAAAAGAUUUAUACGGAAAGGUAUAUGUAAAAUAGAUUGAAGGAGGAUUUAGACGUAAAAAAUUAGGAUUUUGAUAGGAGUAUUGUUUUGUGUACACACCGCCCGUC
RNAcentral lists this ribosomal RNA (305 nucleotides) under Weltnerium sp. 2 SML-2013. Its description in RNAcentral is "partial 12S ribosomal RNA". The record is from RNAcentral. Lineage: Eukaryota; Metazoa; Arthropoda; Thecostraca; Scalpellidae.